Molecule: ribosomal RNA, 164 nt
Filed under: Ancistrocladus aff. congolensis MSB 005031
Lineage: Eukaryota; Viridiplantae; Streptophyta; Magnoliopsida; Caryophyllales; Ancistrocladaceae
Description: 5.8S ribosomal RNA
Rfam family: 5.8S ribosomal RNA
About the family: 5.8S ribosomal RNA (5.8S rRNA) is a component of the large subunit of the eukaryotic ribosome. It is transcribed by RNA polymerase I as part of the 45S precursor that also contains 18S and 28S rRNA. Functionally, it is thought that 5.8S rRNA may be involved in ribosome translocation.
Source: RNAcentral
CAAACGACUCUCGGCAACGGAUAUCUCGGCUCUCGCAUCGAUGAAGAACGUAGCGAANUGCGAUACUUGGUGUGAAUUGCAGAAUCCCGUGAACCAUCGAGUCUUUGAACGCAAGUUGCGCCCGAAGCCACUAGGCCGAGGGCACGUCUGCCUGGGCGUCACGC